UACGUAGGGUGCGAGCGUUGUCCGGAAUUAUUGGGCGUAAAGGGCUCGUAGGCGGUCUGUUACGUCGGGAGUGAAAACUCGGGGCUCAACCCCGAGCCUGCUUCCGAUACGGGCAGACUAGAGGUAUGCAGGGGAGAAUGGAAUUCCUGGUGUAGCGGUGAAAUGCGCAGAUAUCAGGAGGAACGCCGGAGGCGAAAGCGAGUGACUGGCGCGUUCCUGACGCUGAGGUGCGAAAGCUAGGGGAGCAAACAGG
This 253-nucleotide ribosomal RNA is filed under the name uncultured bacterium. RNAcentral describes it as "partial 16S ribosomal RNA". It matches the Rfam family "Bacterial small subunit ribosomal RNA", at positions 524 to 776 of the family's 1533-position model. The record is from RNAcentral.